Molecule: ribosomal RNA, 263 nt
Filed under: uncultured bacterium
Lineage: Bacteria
Description: partial 16S ribosomal RNA
Rfam family: Bacterial small subunit ribosomal RNA
Source: RNAcentral
GUCCUUGCCGUAAACGAUGUAUACUUGAUGUAGCUGGGCUCAACCCUAGCUGUGUCGGAGCUAACGCGUUAAGUAUACCGCCUGAGGAGUACGCUCGCAAGGGUGAAACUCAAAAGAAUUGACGGGGGCCCGCACAAGCAGUGGAGCAUGUGGUUUAAUUCGAUGCUACGCGAAGAACCUUACCCAGGUUUGAAAUGCAGGGGACCGCACCAGAAAUGGUGCUUUCCGCAAGGACCGCUGCACAGGUGCUGCAUGGCUGUCGU